GACGAACGCUGGCGGCGUGCUUAACACAUGCAAGUCGAACGGAAAGACCCUGCUUUUGUGGGGUGCUCGAUUGCCGAACGCGUGAGUAACACGUGAGUAACCUGCCCUUGACAUUGGGAUAACUUCAGGAAACACGGGCUCAUACCGCAUAGGAGCUCCUGCUGCAUGGUGUGGGAUGGUGAGUUUCGGCGGUUGGGGAUGGACUCGCGGCUUAUCAGCUUGAUGGUGGGGUAGUGGCUUACCAAGGGUUUGACGGGUAGCCGGCCUGAGAGGGUGACCGGCGACCUGGGGACUGAGAUACGGCGCAGACUCCUACGGGAGGCAGCAGUGGGGAAUAUUGCACAAUGGGCGGAAGCCAGAUGCAGCAACGCCGCGUGCGGGAUGACGGCCUUCGGGUUGUAAACCGCUGUCGCAUGUGACGAGGAGUGAGUGACGGUAAUGGGUAAAGAAGCAACGGCUAACUACGUG
Molecule: ribosomal RNA, 468 nt
Filed under: uncultured bacterium
Lineage: Bacteria
Description: partial 16S ribosomal RNA
Rfam family: Bacterial small subunit ribosomal RNA
Source: RNAcentral